Molecule: small nucleolar RNA, 127 nt
Filed under: Caenorhabditis brenneri
Lineage: Eukaryota; Metazoa; Nematoda; Chromadorea; Rhabditida; Rhabditidae
Description: snoRNA CBN33548
Rfam family: Caenorhabditis snoRNA ceN101
Source: Rfam by way of RNAcentral
AUCCUUGCUUAUAAGCCGGGGGACUAGUCUUUGCUAUGUUCACUAGUAAAAUGCGAGGAAAAUGAUAGAGACAACCAGACACCGUGCAAACUCUGGUUUGUUCGGUCACUAUGUCUGUCCCACAUAA